GAUGAAGAACGUAGCGAAACGCGAUAAGUAAUGUGAAUUGCAGAAUCCAGUGAAUCAUCGAAUCUUUGAACGCACAUUGCGCCCGCCAGCAUUCUGGCGGGCAUGCCUGUUCGAGCGUCAUUUCAACCCUCGACCUCCCCUUGGGGAGGUCGGCGUAGGGGACCGGCAGCACACCGCCGGCCCUGAAAUGGAGUGGCGGCCCGUCCGCGGCGACCUCUGCGCAGUAAUACAGCUCGCACCGGGACCCCGACGCGGCCACGCCGUAAAACACCCAACUUCUGAACGUUGACCUCGAAUCAGGUAGGACUACCCGCUGAACUUAAGCAUAUCAAUAAGCGGAGGA
Molecule: unclassified non-coding RNA, 343 nt
Filed under: soil metagenome
Description: partial contains 5.8S ribosomal RNA, internal transcribed spacer 2, and large subunit ribosomal RNA
Rfam family: 5.8S ribosomal RNA (bases 1-120)
Source: RNAcentral